RNAcentral lists this small nuclear RNA (20 nucleotides) under Arabidopsis thaliana (thale cress). Its description in RNAcentral is "snRNA_07376". The record is from RNAcentral. Lineage: Eukaryota; Viridiplantae; Streptophyta; Magnoliopsida; Brassicales; Brassicaceae.
CUCGGAGUUUUGACAACGUC